AAUUUGGAUGACUUCCCAAAUGAGACAUUAGUAAAUGGAGUCGCUUUUUCUGUAGAGGUUUUUGGUGGUGAUGGAGUAGGGGCAACAGAAGCUGAUACAUCCAUUGGUUUAGUUGGGAUUGGUGGUGGUUCUGUAGGUGAAAUGUUGGACAAGGGAGCUUUUGUAGCCCCAACAUUGCGGCGCAAAUGCAUUUCAAAAUCCCCAACCUUUAGUUUGAGUUCAGCAAUCUCUGUCUCAUCACAGACCUCUAGUACCAAUGCUUCAAAUCCAUUAGGAAA
RNAcentral lists this unclassified non-coding RNA (278 nucleotides) under Hevea brasiliensis (rubber tree). Lineage: Eukaryota; Viridiplantae; Streptophyta; Magnoliopsida; Malpighiales; Euphorbiaceae. The record is from RNAcentral.